CCUAACCCAGAACACAGAGGGCUGUGUGGCUUUUUUUCUGAUGAGUCCAUCUGUGAAGCAAUGAUUCAGUCCUGAGGGACCUACUACAUCACUUAAGUUUUGUUUGGGUUUCUUUGAAAAGCACCCCACUUCUGAUUUCCACUCAUUCGUGCCUAUGUAACUCGCUCAUUUUCGGUGUAAUUUUUCCAGGCAGAGAAAUGCCUCUGCAGAGGAUAAUACACAACAUGGCCAAAGGAUUAAACAGCCCAAGGACAGAGCACCAUUUGUAUAUUCUACUACAAGAUUUGCCCUAGUCCCAUCACUAAUAUGGAUGUGAUUAAAAAACAUCAACAACAAGAACAGAUGUAGGCAUGCUCAGUUGAAGGCUGAAAGAAGCCACAAACUAAUCACAUCUGACUUCAGCUGGGUGAUCAUUGGAGCUAGUUCGGGAUUUUGGAAGGAUUGCUUUCAGUAUUAAAUUCCAGUUCAUUAAAAGAGAAUUUUUUGCAGGAACACACACACCAGUUGUGGCAGAAAAUGUUUACAUGAGCCCAUGUUACAAGAGAGUAAGACUGACAUGUUCCUGACACAACAGCCAGGUGGUUUGGAGAAUCGCCCAAGAGCCAACAGAUCAGGGUUCAAGCUCUUCUGCACCUGAUUUAGGCUAGAGACUUGAAUUGAAUUCUCUUACAACAUAGAUAAAUGCCCUCACCACUGGCCUGGUGGUUAUUUCGUGGAAGGCAGGCAUGUUCCAUCUUAGAUGUGAGCAAAUCCUUGGAUGGGAUUUUUUAGCUAGCUGGGACUGAUUUUACACUUGGAUGAGUGACUCCCGCAAAGUGUUAGCCUGCUUAUAGUACAUGCUAGGACCAAUGGGAGUCGGGGAUGCAGGAUCUGUCCUGCGCUGCUUAGUGAGAAAGACGGGCACCUUGAAGGAUCAGUUCCUAAAAGUGCUGGGCACUUCUAAGAAGGGGAAGAAUAUUAAUUUAGGGGUCUGGCACUUCACUUUCCCCUUGAAUCAAUCCUCCCCCCACUUUUAUUGCAUUAGGGUCUUCCUUUCAUGCCUGAGCUUUGGUGGUGUUGCCCUACACUAUUAAAGAAUUGCCCUGAGCCUGGCUGUAUCUCAGUGGGAGGUAACUGUGCCAAAAGUUUCUAGAGAAGAGCUACCCUGCCUUCAGUGAUGGGCUGAUAGUCAUGCUUGGCUCUUCCUUAGUGCCCUCUGUCAAUAUUUUUAUCCUGCUUUAUUGCACAAUGAGGGUGUUUGAUUCCUGGCCAUCUGACACCUUCUGUGUCCAUGCACACCACUGAAAAGGCAUGCUUAUGAAACACCCCAGUAUCAAACCACUGCGGUCCCAGGCCCAUGUGGCAUUUAUGUCAUGGUUAGUGAUGGGUGACAUAGCCCCUUGCAUCUAAUCUAAGAGGUAAAUAGUACCUGAUCAGAAGGGGAGCAUUUUACCUCCACUUUGUGCACAGGUAAAUCCACGCAGGUUUCUAGUUUUGGGAAAGCAGGAAGCAGCCUCCCUGUGUAGAUGCUUUACCUCUCCCCUUCUUGCUUAUUAUUUGCAAAGCCUCUUGAAGCAGAAUAAAAUUCAACUCAAGUAUUCUUCCUAUGGCUCUUCCUCUGCUCAUUCUGGACCUCCAGGCUGCUGACACAAUCACGAAUGAAUCAAGAAGAAUUGGCCUGUAUUUCCCUGGCUGGUUGCUUUAUCUGGAAAUGGGGUUGGGCAAUGGGACAGUCCUACCACUUC
Long non-coding RNA from Alligator mississippiensis (American alligator), 1724 nucleotides. RefSeq lists it as uncharacterized. The transcript is spliced from 3 exons. The record is from RefSeq and is a predicted model, not a curated record. Lineage: Eukaryota; Metazoa; Chordata; Crocodylia; Alligatoridae.